CAGUGGACCAAUGCAGAUCAUUUGCAUGAACUCAAAUCCUUUUGAUGAUCUGACAAUAUUUAUAACACUCUGACUUACAGACAAAGGACCUAAAACAACGAUGGCUCCUCUCCUACAGCUCUUCUGCACUCUUGUCUUCUUCACUCAGGAUUCUUUUGGUGAUAUUAUUAUGACACAAACACCCAAGGCCAUAUCAUUUAUGCCAGGAGACACCAUCAACAUCAACUGUAAAUCCAGCAGCAGUACCUCUACUUCUCGCUUGCACUGGUAUCAGCAGAAAUCUGGGGAGAAAAUUAAACUUCUCAUCUACAGCACAAGUUCACUUCAUUCUGAGACCCCAGCUCGUUUCAGUGGCAGUGGGUCAGAGACUGAUUUCACCCUAACCAUAAGUGGAGCCCAGGCAGAAGAUGCAGGAGACUAUUACUGCAAACAGUAUAAUAGCUACCCAGUCACACAGUGAUUGAGAGCUGAACAAAAACCUUCCUCCGCUCUUCUUUCAGUGAUACUUGAGGCAGCUGCUGAGGGGGAAGCGGCUGAGAUAAAGACAUGUUUGAGAAGGGCAAUAUGACAGCUUACCGUGGGUGUCACAGAGUAUAAAAAUGAAAUUAGAACAUUGAAAGAAAGUUGAAAGGUGGCCAUUAGGCUUAGCAGAAAUUCAGUAAUUUAUUAUAAACACAACCAACGGUCAUAGCAUUACAACAUGGGGAAUAAACAUGGAUUUUUGCAGAAAAGAAGGUUGCAAUGCUAUUAAUAGCUAUUGUUAACUAGA
Erpetoichthys calabaricus (reedfish) is the source of this 769-nucleotide non-coding RNA. NCBI's taxonomy places the organism in Eukaryota, Metazoa, Chordata, Cladistia, Polypteriformes, Polypteridae. The record is from the annotation of a RefSeq genome assembly.